Sturnus vulgaris (Common starling) is the source of this 526-nucleotide non-coding RNA. The record is from RefSeq and is a predicted model, not a curated record. Lineage: Eukaryota; Metazoa; Chordata; Aves; Passeriformes; Sturnidae.
UCCUUAGCAGCAGGUAGGGCAUUUCCGUCCCCCACCUUUUUCUUGCUUUUAACCUUUAUAGCAGAAACCACACUGCACGAGCACCCUGCAAAGUAGAAUUUUCUCUUAGCCCUUCCUGUUGCUGUAAUCUGUUUUCUACUUCUGUGUUAACACCUCCAUUAUGACAGUUCACUCAGCUCAAGUCAGACUUGUAAUGGUGAUACACAAGUAAAUGGUGCCUCCGACAGCACCAGUGAGGCAGAAUUCAAGUAGUUCUGGCAAAUUGUCCUGUGCAGUGUAGAUGUGGGGCUGUAGCGUUCUGUCUGAAAGCUCUUGAGAGGGCAGAGAAGUCCAAAAACACAUUUUUGUUUUAGUAAAGCACCAUCCAAUAUAUAUGGAGAAGGGUUUUUGUGUCCUUACUCCAGCAGGCCCUUGCAAGAAUGUGCUGCCCAAUGGUAGGACGUCAAAUGCCAAGACUGACUGAGUAACAGGAAUCUGUGCUUUGCUCUUACUUCACUGCAAGUUGAAGGAAAUGAAAUGGUGGUGA